ACGGAAGGCAGCAGUAAGGGAUAUUGGGCAAUGGGGGGAACCCUGACUCAGCCAUGCCGCGUGAGGGAAUGAGGCCCUACGGGUCGUGAACCUCUUUUGCCUGGGGAUAAACCGCCCCGCUGGACGGGGCGCUGCAGGUACCAGGCGAAUAAGCAUCGGCUAACUCCGUGCCAGCAGCCGCGGUAAUACGGAGGAUGCGAGCGCUAUCCGGAUUCAUUGGGUUUAAAGGGUGCGCAGGCGGCGCGUUAAGUCAGCGGUGAAAGGCAGGGGCCCAACCCCGGCAGUGCCGUUGAUACUGGCGCGCUGGAAUGCGGUCGAGGCGGGCGGAAUGUGGCGUGUAGCGGUGAAAUGCAUAGAUAUGCCACAGAACUCCGAUAGCGAAGGCAGCUCGCCAGGCCUGCAUUGACGCUCAGGCACGAAAGCGUGGGGAUCGAACAGGAUUAGAUACCCUGGUA
Molecule: ribosomal RNA, 455 nt
Filed under: uncultured Mogibacterium sp.
Lineage: Bacteria; Bacillati; Bacillota; Clostridia; Peptostreptococcales; Anaerovoracaceae
Description: partial 16S ribosomal RNA
Rfam family: Bacterial small subunit ribosomal RNA
Source: RNAcentral